Bradysia coprophila is the source of this 148-nucleotide long non-coding RNA. The record is from RefSeq and is a predicted model, not a curated record. NCBI's taxonomy places the organism in Eukaryota, Metazoa, Arthropoda, Insecta, Diptera, Sciaridae.
AUACAAAAAAGGUCAUCGCUGCUCAUACUUCAUUUAAUUUAUUUUUAAAAGUGUAAAAUUUUCUGUGGCAGUGCACACUGUCAAUGUUUACCACCUUAUUUUUUAUAGUUUGGUUGCUAGAGAGGGUAUUGGCAAAUGACAACUUUUG